CCUACGGGAGGCAGCAGUGGGGAAUUUUGCGCAAUGGGGGAAACCCUGACGCAGCAACGCCGCGUGCGGGACGAAGGCCUUCGGGUUGUAAACCGCUUUCAGCAGGGACGAAUUCCGACGGUACCUGCAGAAGAAGCCCCGGCUAACUACGUGCCAGCAGCCGCGGUAAUACGUAGGGGGCGAGCGUUAUCCGGAUUCAUUGGGCGUAAAGCGCGCGUAGGCGGCGCGUCAAGCGGGACCUCUAACCCCGGGGCUCAACCCCGGGCCGGGUCCCGGACUGGCGCGCUCGAGUGCGGUAGAGGCGAGUGGAAUUCCCGGUGUAGCGGUGGAAUGCGCAGAUAUCGGGAAGAACACCGAUGGCGAAGGCAGCUCGCUGGGCCGACACUGACGCUGAGGCGCG
This 400-nucleotide ribosomal RNA is filed under the name uncultured bacterium. RNAcentral's name for it is "bacterial SSU rRNA". It matches the Rfam family "Bacterial small subunit ribosomal RNA", at positions 338 to 755 of the family's 1533-position model. The record is from RNAcentral.